This 495-nucleotide ribosomal RNA is filed under the name uncultured bacterium. Its description in RNAcentral is "partial 16S ribosomal RNA". It matches the Rfam family "Bacterial small subunit ribosomal RNA", at positions 28 to 507 of the family's 1533-position model. The record is from RNAcentral.
GAUGAACGCUGGCGGCGUGCCUAAUACAUGCAAGUAGAACGCUGAAGGAGGAGCUUGCUCUUCUGGAUGAGUUGCGAACGGGUGAGUAACGCGUAGGUAACCUGCCUGGUAGCGGGGGAUAACUAUUGGAAACGAUAGCUAAUACCGCAUGACAACAGCUAUUGCAUGAUAACUGUUUAAAAGGGGCAACUGCUCCACUACCAGAUGGACCUGCGUUGUAUUAGCUAGUUGGUGAGGUAACGGCUCACCAAGGCGACGAUACAUAGCCGACCUGAGAGGGGGAUCGGCCACACUGAGACUGAGACACGGCCCAGACUCCUACGGGAGGCAGCAGUAGGGAAUCGUCGGCAAUGGACGGAAGUCUGACCGAGCAACGCCGCGUGAGUGAAGAAGGUUGUCGGAUCGUAAAGCUCGGUUGUAAGAGAAGAACGAGUGUGAGAGUGGAAAGUUCACACUGUGACGGUAUCGUACCAGAAAGGGACGGCUAACUACGUG